UAACUUUUAAAAGUCUCCUAGUUUUCAUGCCCCUAAAAGUAGCCUGAAGGCGUACUACAGAUUGGUUAUACCUCUGAAAUUGUUUGUUUCUUGCCUUCACUGCUCGGUAUCUUUGCUGUACUAUUUUUGUUGCCUUCUUUAACUUAUUAAAAUACAUUUGCUGUCUGUAUCUUCUAUAGCAUGACUGAAUAAGUGUUGCUGCAACCUGCAUCUUUCUUAGAGUUUGUCUAACUCUUGCUCCUCUAAAACUUGCCUGAAGAGUAUUAACAGCCUUUAAAGUUGCCAGGUACUUUUCACGCUGAAUUUUACCUUGACAAUAUGCUCUGUAUCUUACUUGAAUUGCAACAGCUGCUCUUCUCAUUGCAUGGUAUCUUACUCUUGACUGAUACAUUUUAAACAUGGCUUUAAUUAAAGUGGCUGCAAAGUGCAUGUGUUGAAUAUGUCUUCUUACUCUAAUACCUCUAUAAACAGCUUGGAUUUUAAUUGCUGUCUUCUUUAAAUUAAGAUACUCCUUUUGUUGAUGGUUUGUAAUUUUGAUAUCUCGAUACCACCUCUGAAUUAUAAUAGCUGAAGCUCUGUAGAUUGCAU
Molecule: long non-coding RNA, 588 nt
Filed under: Marmota monax (woodchuck)
Lineage: Eukaryota; Metazoa; Chordata; Mammalia; Rodentia; Sciuridae
Source: RNAcentral